GCUAGCAUAGCUUAAGUAAAGCAUAACACUGAAGAUGUUAAGAUGGGCCUUAGAACGCUCUGCAAGCA
RNAcentral lists this transfer RNA (68 nucleotides) under Parapercis cylindrica (cylindrical sandperch). Its description in RNAcentral is "tRNA-Phe". It matches the Rfam family "tRNA". From Rfam's summary of the family: Transfer RNA (tRNA) molecules are approximately 80 nucleotides in length. Their secondary structure includes four short double-helical elements and three loops (D, anti-codon, and T loops). Further hydrogen bonds mediate the characteristic L-shaped molecular structure. tRNAs have two regions of fundamental functional importance: the anti-codon, which is responsible for specific mRNA codon recognition, and the 3' end, to which the tRNAs corresponding amino acid is attached (by aminoacyl-tRNA synthetases). tRNAs cope with the degeneracy of the genetic code in two manners: having more than one tRNA (with a specific anti-codon) for a particular amino acid; and 'wobble' base-pairing, i.e. permitting non-standard base-pairing at the 3rd anti-codon position. Lineage: Eukaryota; Metazoa; Chordata; Actinopteri; Uranoscopiformes; Pinguipedidae. The record is from RNAcentral.